Triticum aestivum (bread wheat) is the source of this 2481-nucleotide RNA transcript. It is a transcript of the gene named alcohol dehydrogenase 3, with no coding region annotated. Lineage: Eukaryota; Viridiplantae; Streptophyta; Magnoliopsida; Poales; Poaceae. The record is from RefSeq and is a predicted model, not a curated record. The transcript is spliced from 3 exons.
GCCUCCACCCCUUACGCAUUGCAGGCUUCCAACCCAUUCUCGCAGCGCCUCAUCCCCUUCCCUGACACCGCCGCCGCCGCCGCCGCUGAAGGGAUCUCAGGCAGCGGCGCCCUUCCCUCCUCUUGCUCGCUCUGCACCUAGCUAGGCGAUUGCGCAACCCUCUCCUCCUUUGUCCCUCCUUUUUUACCUCCGGCUCCUUGUGCUACCUCCCCAUGGCGCCUCCCUGUCCCGUUGUUCCAUGAAGGUCGAAGGUGUGACAAAGAUGAGAGGAUGAGCACGGGAGGAUGGGAAGACGAGUCGAUCUGGAGCAAGGCGGGGACUUCCCAGCCGCCAAUGUAUUCCUCCCCGUCACCUUCGACGAGUCGAGCUGGAGCAAGGUGGAUGGGUGCUCAUCUGCAGGUCAUGACCACUGGUGAUGUCCUCUCCUCCAAUGGAAGUUGAUGUCAAAUCCCCUCCUCGAAGGUAAAAACAUUGUGCGAUGAGGCAAAUGAGAUAUUAGGGAGGAAGCUAAUGUUCAGGUAUGGUAGAUCGUUCUCAUAAUUUUGCAAUGGCGUCUGUUAAUAGGUAAUAAGGUGUUACAAAAUAUAAUGGUAUGCUCUAUUCGGUUGUAGGCUUGUAGUAACAUCAUGCCAGUAUACUCUUAGGCGUGUUCUGCAUUGUUCACUUUGCUCAAAAUUUUGUAAUGGAAUCAUUUUGUUUUGUUAAUAGUGUGGAAUGAACCAACUAGAAAAAGUUAGGAAUAAUGUCUUCAUGAUCAUUUUUCGGUGCUGCGUACAUGAAAUACCUUCUCCAAGUUUUAAUUUAUGAAGCGGACUAGGACCUUUGCUCCAAGCACCUGUGGAAGAUACUAGCCGAGCUGCGAACUGGUGAGCCGCGGGCAAAAGAAAAUACCGUCGAUGCAGUCGCAGGUUGUGGGUGGAUAGGCAAGCCGGUUGAGCCGAUGUGUUCACACGGGCAUCCGCCAUCCGGUCGAGGAGCGAGCCCAUGUGGUAAAGCUGCUUCGGGCCUUCCAGGUCGCACGCCGAUGCAGGUCUAGGCGAAGCGGCGUUCGCUGUUAGGUGAAGCAGAUCAACGAGAGAAAGUCAUUGGGUUUUGAAGAAAGCAAUCAACAGAUCAAUGUCGACCGGGGCAUGCUGAUAGGUGAUGGGCCAUCACACUUCACCAUCAGCUGGAAACUGAGAUUCGUCUUCGUCUAGACCUCUACCUUCAGUGAUUGUUCUGAUGCCAUUAUUUUCCAAUGAAACACCAUAUUCAGAUUUAGAAUGCCUCGCGAAAACGGCAAAGGGUUUGAGGGUGGCGAUUUUUAGCCUUGGAGUUGUAAGCCUUGCUUUAAGUGAAACAUGAUAUUUUAUCUACCACAAUAUACUAUUGGAGGUUGAUGAGAAUUAUUCCCUAUAAACGUCAGUCGUUGUUGUAUGUUCUUUUCACAUGAUCAGGCUAUGGAAGGGGUCAGGAUGGAUAGGGGAUCAAGUAUUAUCAGUGAGGACUUGAACCCUGCAAAAUAAGAACAAGUUACAGUCUAUUGCUAUCUUCAGAAACAAAAUAUAUAUACAUUUUCAUAAUUGUUUAUGGACACAUACUUAACUUUUGCGAAAAAGCCAGCUAAGAAAUUUUGCUGCACCGACUUUGUAAACCCAAAGGAUCACACCAAGCCAGUGCAUGAGGUAUGUUAUGUUCUCUGCCUGAGCAUACAUUUAUCUCUUAAUUUGUUCACGGGAUGCCAUAUUGUAUCAAAUGCUUGCAAUUGAGUUAUGCUCCUGGUGCUUGUUGAGAUGACAAACAUUGGAGUCAACAGAGCCGUGGAUUGCACUUGCCACGUCGACGCCAUGAUAUUUGCCUUUGAAUGCUUUCAUGAUGUAUGUUCUCGAUACACUUGUAGUUUGAGCAUUCUGAGCAUUGAUGUGUUUUCUACUUUGAGCUCAGUCAUGAAGUCUGAGUGCAGGGGUGGGGCGUGGUUAGGCUGGUGGGUGUCCCACACAAGGAGGUGGCAUUCAAUACCCACCUGAUGAACUUCCUCAGUGGCAAGACCUUGAAAGGUGCCUUCUUUGGGAACUACAAGCCACACACCAACCUCCCAGACGUUGUCAAGAUUUACGCGAGGAAGGAGCUGGAGCUGGAGAAGUUCAUCAUGCACGACGGACCUUUCUAACAGAUCAAAUUGUGCUCAUCAUUCUAAAGAGGAGGUACUGCUGCUUCACGAGGUUGGAUGAUUAGAUUGAGCUUCUUCGGUCAUGUCCCUUGCUACUUUUAGAUUUGGUGCUUGAGAAACAUAAGAAAAAUGCUUAUAAGAUCUUCCCUCAGGUAAUAAUGUAAUAGUUGUGAGACACCAUGUGUUGAGCUCUUUUUUGUCACAAAGAACUAACACUGUUUUGUGUUGUCGUACUGUUUUGUGUUGUCGUACAACACUUGCCAGCAGCAAGCAGUCUUUAGUUACUUUGUACCUGAACGUUUUGCACAGUAAUGGUCUGCAGUUUCUCUGUU